Molecule: non-coding RNA, 227 nt
Organism: Xyrichtys novacula (pearly razorfish)
Lineage: Eukaryota; Metazoa; Chordata; Actinopteri; Labriformes; Labridae
Source: the annotation of a GenBank genome assembly
CGGGGUCAGGGGGGUGGAGAUCUGAGGGGAGGGGGAGCAGGAGGAGGAGGAGGAGGAGGUGAUGGAGGAGGACAGAUGGAAACAGCAGAGUUAAAAACCUGAAGAACAAACAUGGAGUGCUUUCUUAAAUCAGACACACCAUUUGGAGUUUCUUCUUCUCCUCCUCGCCACCUCCUCCUCCUCACCUCCUCCUCCUCCCUCUCUCUGUCCUCCAUCUCUGAGUCACU